This 253-nucleotide ribosomal RNA is filed under the name uncultured bacterium. RNAcentral's name for it is "partial 16S ribosomal RNA". It matches the Rfam family "Bacterial small subunit ribosomal RNA", at positions 524 to 776 of the family's 1533-position model. The record is from RNAcentral.
UACGUAGGGGGCAAGCGUUGUCCGGAAUCAUUGGGCGUAAAGAGCGUGUAGGCGGCUCGGUAAGUCCGCUGUGAAAGUCCAGGGCUCAACCCUGGAAUGCCGGUGGAAACUGUCGAGCUUGAGUCCGGAAGAGGCGAGUGGAAUUCCUGGUGUAGCGGUGAAAUGCGCAGAUAUCAGGAGGAACACCAAUGGCGAAGGCAGCUCGCUGGGACGGUACUGACGCUGAGGAGCGAAAGCAUGGGGAGCGAACAGG